GACGAACGCUGGCGGCGUGCUUAACACAUGCAAGUCGAACGGAAAGGCCCUGCUUUUGUGGGGUGCUCUAGUUGCGAACGGGUGAGUAACACGUGAGUAACCUGCCCUUGACUUUGGGAUAACUUCAGGAAACUGGGGCUAAUACCGGAUAGGAGCUCCUGCUGCAUGGUGGGGGUUGGAAAGUUUCGGCGGUUGGGGAUGGACUCGCGGCUUAUCAGCUUGUUGGUGGGGUAGUGGCUUACCAAGGCUUUGACGGGUAGCCGGCCUGAGAGGGUGACCGGCCACAUUGGGACUGAGAUACGGCACAGACUACUACGGGAGGCAGCAGUGGGGAAUAUUGCACAAUGGGCGGAAGCAUGAUGCAGCAACGCAGCGUGCGGGAUGACGGCCUUCGGGUUGUAAACCGCUUUCGCCUGUGACGAAGCGUGAGUGACGGUAAUGGGUAAAGAAGCACCGGCUAACUACGUG
Molecule: ribosomal RNA, 468 nt
Filed under: uncultured bacterium
Lineage: Bacteria
Description: partial 16S ribosomal RNA
Rfam family: Bacterial small subunit ribosomal RNA
Source: RNAcentral